AUGGGUUACUUGCUCAUUUUAUUGUGACUGAACAUUUCACUUAACUUGACAGAGCUCCUAUGAUAAGAAAUCUUGGAUCUCUGGCUAUUUGGUUUUCAUCUUCAUGCUGCCUUUUUCUUUAGUCUUAUUGCUUGGUGAAAUCAUUUAAACGUACAUCUGAUUACUGGCCAAACGAUAUCUUUGUCAAUCUCUAUUUAUCCUCAUUGAUGAGUAUUAAUUUAAAGGAUCUACCAGUGGGGAAUACUUAAAGGAUUGGGAUACUAAGAUAAAUUUGACUCUUCUUGCUAGUUUGGCUCGGUAGGGAAGAAUGUUUCUUAACCUUCCACUCUCUGAGCCAGAAAUUCAUGGAGAGGUAUGAAUCUCUUUGUGGUGCAGGUCAGAUGAAUCACAUAGUUUGGUAAACAGUUGGUAAAAGAGUUGAAGUUGCAACCAGAUGGAUGAUAUGCCUGCUUUUGAAGGUUCCACCAGAAGAGCAGAAGCUUGCAGUCAUUCAACUGUGGUGAAUCUUAUUUUUAUGUUUUUGGAUCAAUUGACCUAUCUAGGUUGGGUUGUAGAGUCAUCUAGGUUUGUUUUUGAGAGAGAUGUAUGUCUAGACUUGGAUUUGAAUUUGUUCAAAUUUGGAUAGCUUGUGAAUUUGGUGGAAGAAUGUUGAUAUUUUUU
This is a non-coding RNA of Prunus avium (sweet cherry), 660 nucleotides long. NCBI's taxonomy places the organism in Eukaryota, Viridiplantae, Streptophyta, Magnoliopsida, Rosales, Rosaceae. The record is from RefSeq and is a predicted model, not a curated record.